UGCAAGUCGAGCGGCAGCGACAACAUUGAUUCUUCGGAGGAUUUGUUGGGCGGCGAGCGGCGGACGGGUGAGUAAUGGCUGGGAACCUGCCCUGACGUGGGGGAUAACAGUUGGAAACGACUGCUAAUACCGCAUGAUGUCUUCGGACCAAAGAGGAGGACCUUCGGGCUUCUCGCGUCGGGAUGGGCCCAGUUGGGAUUGGCUAGUUGGUGAGGUAAUGGCUCACCAAGGCGACGAUCCCUAGCUGGUUUGAGAGGAUGAUCAGCCACACUGGAACUGAGACACGGUCCAGACUCCUACGGGAGGCAGCAGUGGGGAAUAUUGCACAAUGGGCGCAAGCCUGAUGCAGCCAUGCCGCGUGUGUGAAGAAGGCCUUCGGGUUGUAAAGCACUUUCAGCAGUGAGGAAGGCGUAGUGGUUAAUACCCGCUGCGCUUGACGUUAGCUGCAGAAGAAGCACCGGCUAACUCCGUGCCAGCAGCCGCGGUAAUACGGAGGGUGCGAGCGUUAAUCGGAAUUACUGGGCGUAAAGCGCAUGCAGGCGGUUUGUUAAGCAAGAUGUGAAAGCCCCGGGCUCAACCUGGGAACCGCAUUUUGAACUGGCAGGCUAGAGUCUUGUAGAGGGGGGUAGAUCUUCGGGUGUAGCGGUGAAAUGCGUAGAGAUCUGAAGGAAUACCGGUGGCGAAGGCGGCCCCCUGGACAAAGACUGACGCUCAGAUGCGAAAGCGUG
Molecule: ribosomal RNA, 728 nt
Filed under: uncultured Vibrio sp.
Lineage: Bacteria; Pseudomonadati; Pseudomonadota; Gammaproteobacteria; Vibrionales; Vibrionaceae
Description: bacterial SSU rRNA
Rfam family: Bacterial small subunit ribosomal RNA
Source: RNAcentral